RNAcentral lists this ribosomal RNA (486 nucleotides) under uncultured bacterium. RNAcentral describes it as "bacterial SSU rRNA". It matches the Rfam family "Bacterial small subunit ribosomal RNA", at positions 28 to 507 of the family's 1533-position model. The record is from RNAcentral.
GAUGAACGCUAGCGGCAGGCCUAACACAUGCAAGUCGAGGGGCAUCGCGGUGCAGCAAUGCACUGGCGGCGACCGGCGUACGGGUGCGUAACGCGUAUGCAACCUGCCCCGCACCGGGGGAUAGCCCGCCGAAAGGCGGAUUAAUACCCCAUGGCCCCGGGGGCCCGCAUGGGCAUCCGGGUAAAGCCUUGGCGGUGCGGGAUGGGCAUGCGUGCCAUUAGCUGGCUGGUGGGGUAACGGCCCACCAGGGCAACGAUGGCUAGGGGGUCUGAGAGGAUGGUCCCCCACACUGGUACUGAGACACGGACCAGACUCCUACGGGAGGCAGCAGUGAGGAAUAUUGGUCAAUGGGCGGAAGCCUGAACCAGCCAUGCCGCGUGCGGGAUGAAGGCCCUACGGGUUGUAAACCGCUUUUCCCCGGGAAGAAUAACCCCGAUGAGUCGGGGGAUGCCGGUACCGGGGGAAUAAGGAUCGGCUAACUCCGUG